CCCUUAGAUGUCCGGGGCCGCACGCGCGCUACACUGAAGGAAUCAGCGUGGCUUUCUCCCUGACCCGAAAGGGUUGGGAAACCCGUUGAAUCUCCUUCGUGAUAGGGAUUGGGGCUUGAAAUUGUUCCCCAUGAACGAGGAAUUCCCAGUAAGCGCGAGUCAUAAGCUCGCGUUGAUUACGUCCCUGCCCUUUGUACACACCGCCCGUCGCUACUACCGAUUGAACGGUUUAGUGAGGGCCUCGGAUUGGUCUCGGCCCGCUCUUUACCGGGCGGCGCCAUUGGUCGAGAAGACGCUCGAACUUGAUCGUUUAGAGGAAGUAAAAGUCGUAACA
This 334-nucleotide ribosomal RNA is filed under the name uncultured eukaryote. Its description in RNAcentral is "partial 18S ribosomal RNA". It matches the Rfam family "Eukaryotic small subunit ribosomal RNA", at positions 1470 to 1796 of the family's 1831-position model. The record is from RNAcentral.